CUUUCAUAACAGACCUCUACUCAAGCUUGCAUCCAGUACUUUAUUCUUUAGCGGAACUCUACUUGACAAGCACCUAGCGUCCGAAGUGUUAGCUCAUUCUCUCGGAUCUGUGAUCUGGCUGAUUCCUUAGUUUCUUCCCUGUCUGUAAUCAAACGAGUGUUUUGUAUUGAGUAGGACACAUCGCCUUCUCUCUAUUGGGGUUCCCUUCAGACGAUCUAAGGCACAUGAAUCUAUAGUAAGAAGAAAGCUAGUAAAGGCAACAGUAAUAGUGUAUAGUUACUGGACGAGGAGGAUUGAUAGACAGACAAAAUGGUGCCAGAAUAGCUUGUGAUGUUUGGCUCUUUGAUAGAAUGAGCUGUUGGGGGAAUGGGAUUUAUGGACGAAUUGGACAAAGACAGUUUGCUACGAAUACGCAGCUAGUCUUUUUGAUGGGGGAUUUUGGUAAUAUCUGCUCUUUUAGUCCACUCUUUGAGACAUCUAUUAGAUCUUUGAGACAUCUAUUAGACCUACGGGCAUGAACAGGAAUGGGAAACUUUCUUUCCUAUCAUUAGCGCAGUGAAAGUACAAUAUUUGACUUAUAUAGCUUUACCGUUAUAUAGGCUUUGCCCAUGGUUUUAUCCCGAAAUGCAAAGAAUCGGUUUUGCCAGAAUGCCUUUUUCGCACAGUUCAUCUACUAGGGGUAGGAUCCAAUAGUAUAAGUAGUGUUAACGGUGCUUGCUUGUAUUAUUUCUCUUUCUACUGAUGCACAGAAUUCAAUUGAAACAACUCCCGCGGAGUCUUGCUUUGAGUCCACUCUUUGAUGCAAUUAUUCAAUAAAUUGAUGUGGAACAGUCCAUUUGGUCUUUAUGUCGUUAGCAGCAAUAAAGGAAUUAGUAUGAGUUAUAACCAUUCGACAAGCAACAGCGCUAAGCAAGACUAGGUGCGCGUCAGGGGACAGAAAGAAAGAUGAAAUGUAGCCCUGCGAGUUGCAGUUUGUAACCGAGUUCCAGUAUUGAGCUUUUUAGACAACUAAUUUCUACAGCCUAUCGUUGGCUUAAUAGGAAUAGGUUGCAUUUGCCAUUAGCGGAUUGGACCAUGGCUUAAAACACUCUUAGGGCCUAUUUGACUGCUUUCCCGAAUCGACCUUUACAGCUUUCCCGAGUCGGGUGCUUUACUUUACACUAUGGAAGAAGAGUAUACAAGGGCCGGGGUAUAUAUUAUGUCGUAAUAAAUCCAGAAUACAGUUAAUAGGAGAGACGAGGUCUAGGCAGACUAUCUUACAAGCGCUAAGUCCUGAUUCCAUUUAUGUUCGACCAGUUAUACUUUACUCCAUUCUUUCUAUACAGCGCACUCUCAUCUCAAGAUUGCAUUACAGUUUCCCUUGGCGCAACAAGACUAAGGGUGUUUGUUUACUGUUAGGUAGGGUCAGUGAGGUAAAGAACUAACAAUAGCUGCCUUGCUUCUUUUAAUAACUCUCCCGCCGGGGGUCCAUUCCUUCUCUUGCAAACUCCAAUAAGCGUAAGCACCAGCACUCCUAAAACUAGAAAUAAGGAAUUCCACUCGAGCUGCCUGACUACUUUAAUAACGAAUGGAGUUCACCCUGGAACAAGAGUACAUAUGGAUUUUCUCCCGUGACAGUGUUGUUUACGCUCUAUCUCUAUAUGUGUUACAGUGUUGUUUACAUUGCUCUAUCUCUAUAUGUGUGAUACUAUCUAAUAUCCUAAUUCUCUACUUCAAUACUUUUAUAGCUUCAGAAGGCUUCUUUCUCGUUAUUGAAUCUAUGUUCCACUCAUCUUAUGCCAUCUCUCUAUAGUUAACACAUACUAUUUGUGCACCGCAGAACUAAACAAGCAACACGGCUGCUACUUACUUACGGACCCUUAGGUACGCAGCUACUUACUUACCUAAAGGUCACUUCCACAAAUGGUCUCAUUUCUCAUAUCACAAGCAAAGGCGCAAGGGCUUCUUAAAGCAACGGAACAAGACAGAGAACUAGCCAGGGCGGAGAGUACUUGAGUCUAGCGUUCAGAUGCCUCAAUUCUAUAUUCAAGUAAACAGUAAGUGGAAAGUGUUGUUACAACAUUAUAGUAUAUGUUCGAUAGAUUCAAUGAAAGGGAUUCUCUAACGGCAAUCAAACUGGAACUGACAUCACUCUUUCGUUAGAUGAAGACUGGAACUCCAAGAAAGGACAACACUAGAAACUGAAUCAUGUGCGGAACUCCAUGUAUUAAUUAGUUCAACUACUCUACUCGGUGAGCACAACUAGUAGCUUGGCCCGUUGUAUGUUCCACUUGUUUGUUUCAAGCACAAUAAGUCAGGGAAGCUAACACUCUCACUGCGCUUGUUGAAACCUAACUUCACUCAUAACCUCUAAACUGGAAGUUCUCAUUGAUGCACCCCGUAAAGCAGAAAGGAAGCGUUAGCACAACGGAACAAGCAAGCCUAUCCUGUUAAGAAAAAGACUACAAAGAAUCUUAUAUCACUCUUAUGGUCUAUCUUUCUGUCCCAACUCAAUAA
RNAcentral lists this long non-coding RNA (2496 nucleotides) under Musa acuminata (dwarf banana). RNAcentral's name for it is "long non-coding RNA (MACU_LNC008395)". Lineage: Eukaryota; Viridiplantae; Streptophyta; Magnoliopsida; Zingiberales; Musaceae. The record is from RNAcentral.